UUUGGCUGCCUCAAAAGCCUCCCCUUCUUCUAGAAAACCUGCAUGAAACCACUUCUCUUCUCUGGCAGUGAAUCUUCCCCCUGAGGGCAGCAGCAUGGAAAGAAGGAAGCUGAGAUUUGUCCUCAUCCCUUCAGAUUUUUUACCUUCCAGCAACACCUGGCAUCCCCUUUCUCUGAGAGCUCAGUAAAGGCUGCCACAGGGUGUCUCUAAGCAUUCCUUUUGGAAGGCUUUUAGGACCCAUCAAAGACAUCUGGAACUGUGGCAGGGAGAAGAAGACCAGUGCAGUCACAUCUUUUACUCAGUUCAGGCAGCCUUCUACCUGUCACCAUGCAGACAACUAAGAAGAUGACACAACAGAACAACCUGUCACGUAAAGUCCCUGUAAGUCUUGAAGCUAGCUCCUGUCUCUGCUGCCCUGCCUGCAGUCACAAACUAGGAAGUCAAACCCCUCAGACAAAACAGGGAAUACAAAUAAUGCUGCUGGAGUCACUCACAAUGCACAGCCAGGGCUGCCAGGCAGAGCAAGGCCAGGCAGAGGACCAGGCACCCAAGUUCUGUAUGCAAAGAUAAAUAAAGAUAUAAACAGUA
This is a long non-coding RNA of Passer domesticus (house sparrow), 588 nucleotides long. RefSeq lists it as uncharacterized. The record is from RefSeq and is a predicted model, not a curated record. Lineage: Eukaryota; Metazoa; Chordata; Aves; Passeriformes; Passeridae. The transcript is spliced from 2 exons.